GUUUCAGAAAAUAAUUUAGUCAUCAAAAUGAAGAUAUAUUGGAUAAGACAGUACUAAACAACAUCAGUUUUAAAACUACAUUGAAAAUUAAUUUAUUUUUUCUAUUUUUUUGCUACUUGAAGAUGAGUUUAAUUUUCAUAUCUCUUCUAGAAAAUGGCAGCUCUGCUGACAGCACCAGAGUGCUGUAUCUGGAUGGGACCCAAGUACACUGACAUUUGAUGAACAUUACAGAGCUGAAAGAAACUGUAUUAAUUAUUAUGGAAAGUCAAAACUGUCUUCAGAAUAUGUCAAGCAAAAUCACAUAAUUCUGUACUGUGUAGAACAUGGGGUUAAAUUAUACCCCAAAUAUUAAGCACCAAUCAUUGUUUUAUGUCCAUUUUAAUUAAGGAAAUUACUGCAGACCAGCAGUAAUGCAUUUUACGAGAAUUUGAAUAUUCUGAGGAAAAGAUGGCUCAGUUGUUUUCAUUUCAUGAUAGGGGGCCUACAGGAAAGCUGGGGAGGACCUUUUUAUAAGAGCAGGUAGUGACAGGAAGUGGCUUUAAACAGGAAGAGGGUAGAUUUAGACUAAGGAGAAAUUAUUUAUUGUGAGGGUUGUGAGACACUGGAACAGGUUGUCCAGUGAGGUUGCAGAUGCCCCCUCCCUGGAAGCACUCAAGGUCAGCCUGGAUGGGGCUGUGAGCAACCUGGUCUGGAGGGAAGUGUCCCUGCCUAUAGCAGGAGGGUGGGAACUACACGAUCUUAAAGCUUCCUUCCAACCCAAACCACUCUAUGAUUCUAUGAUUCUAGGAUUCAAAGCCCACUGCAACAAACGGAAACAUGUCGCAUAUUAGUAAGCCGAAGAUUAAUCAGCCUCAAAGCAGCCAAACUAACAAGACAUUGGUGACAAAUGAUAUACUUAACCCUCCAGAAAAGGAUCCUGACUUGUUCUUUAGGACAGUUUUCAUUUUUAUGUCUGAAGGAUCAGACAAAGACACAUUGCCUUUCAAGGAAAGUGAUGAUGCAACAGCAACGUCUGGAAAUGAAUCUCAUUCCUCUGGAGUGUUUUUGUCUUUUUGUUUGAUUGCUUUUGGGGAAGGAAGGAGACGUAUGUAGACUGUAAUAAAUAUCUAAUCUACAAUGGCA
This 1122-nucleotide long non-coding RNA is filed under the name Phasianus colchicus (ring-necked pheasant). Its description in RNAcentral is "lncRNA (ENSPCLG00000006653.1)". Lineage: Eukaryota; Metazoa; Chordata; Aves; Galliformes; Phasianidae. The record is from RNAcentral.